Molecule: ribosomal RNA, 503 nt
Filed under: uncultured bacterium
Lineage: Bacteria
Description: partial 16S ribosomal RNA
Rfam family: Bacterial small subunit ribosomal RNA
Source: RNAcentral
GACGAACGCUGGCGGCGUGCUUAACACAUGCAAGUCGAACGGUGAAGCGCUUUCCUUUUUGGUUGGUGUGGAUGAGUGGCGAACGGGUGAGUAACACGUGAGUAACCUGCCCCCUUCUUCUGGAUAACCGCAUGAAAGUGUGGCUAAUACGGGAUAUUCUGCGCCUGCUGCAUGGUGGGUGUGGGAAAGAUUGUGCCUUUGGGUGUUUUCGGUGGGGGAUGGGCUCGCGGCCUAUCAGCUUGUUGGUGGGGUGAUGGCCUACCAAGGCGGUGACGGGUAGCGGGCCGGAGGGGGUGGACGGUCACACUGGGACUGGGACACGGCCCAGACUCCUACGGGAGGCAGCAGUGGGGAAUAUUGCACAAUGGGCGCAAGCCUGAUGCAGCGACGCCGCGUGAGGGAUGGAGGCCUUCGGGUUGUGAACCUCUUUCGCCAGUGAAGCAGGCCUGCUCCUUGUGGGUGGGUUGACGGUAGCUGGAUAAGAAGCGCCGGCUAACUACGUG